GAUGAACGCUGGCGGCGUGCUUAACACAUGCAAGUCGAACGGGAUCCAAGGGGUGCUUGCACUUUUUGGUGAGAGUGGCGAACGGGUGAGUAACACGUGAGUAACCUGUCCUUUUCUUUGGGAUAAGCAUUCGAAAGGGUGUUUAAUACCUUAUGUUCUGUCUGCCUCGCAUGGGGUGGGUGGGAAAGGCUUUGGCCGGAUUUGGGUGGGCUCGCGGUCUAUCAGCUUGUUGGUGGGGUGAUGGCUUACCAAGGCUUUGACGGGUAGCCGGCCUGAGAGGGUGGUCGGUCACAUUGGGACUGAGAUACGGCCCAGACUCCUGCGGGAGGCAGCAGUGGGCGAUAUUGCACAAUGGGCGAAAGCCUGAUGCAGCGACGCCGCGUGGCGGAUGAAGGCCUUCGGGUUGUAAACUUCUUUUGCUCUGAACAAGGCAUGCCAGUGGGUGUGUGGAGUGUAGGGGUUGAUUAGCGCCGGCUAACUACGUG
Molecule: ribosomal RNA, 485 nt
Filed under: uncultured bacterium
Lineage: Bacteria
Description: partial 16S ribosomal RNA
Rfam family: Bacterial small subunit ribosomal RNA
Source: RNAcentral